UACAGAGAGUGCAAGCGUUGUUCGGAAUUACUGGGCUUGAAGCGCACGUAGGCGGCGUUGUAAGUGUCGGGUGAAAUCCCACGGCUCACCCGUGGAACUGCCCGGCAUACUGCGAUGCUAGAGUGUGGUAGGGGAGAGCGGAACUCCUGGUGGAGCGGUGAAAUGCGUAGAUAUCAGGAGGAACACCGGUGGCGAAGGCGGCUCUCUGGUCCACAACUGACGCUGAGGUGCGAAAGCUAGGGUAGCAAACGGG
RNAcentral lists this ribosomal RNA (253 nucleotides) under uncultured bacterium. RNAcentral's name for it is "partial 16S ribosomal RNA". It matches the Rfam family "Bacterial small subunit ribosomal RNA", at positions 524 to 776 of the family's 1533-position model. The record is from RNAcentral.